This 301-nucleotide ribosomal RNA is filed under the name uncultured bacterium. Its description in RNAcentral is "partial 16S ribosomal RNA". It matches the Rfam family "Bacterial small subunit ribosomal RNA", at positions 509 to 807 of the family's 1533-position model. The record is from RNAcentral.
CAGUCGCCACGGUAAUACGAAGGGUGCAAGCGUUACUCGGAAUUACUGGGCGUAAAGCGUGCGUAGGUGGUGGUUUAAGUCCGUUGUGAAAGCCCUGGGCUCAACCUGGGAACUGCAGUGGAUACUGGGUCACUAGAGUGUGGUAGAGGAUAGUGGAAUUUCCGGUGUAGCAGUGAAAUGCGUAGAGAUCGGAAGGAACAUCUGUGGCGAAGGCGACUAUCUGGGCCAACACUGACACUGAGGCACGAAAGCGUGGGGAGCAAACAGGAUUAGAUACCCGCGUAGUCCCUGUCUCUUAUAC